RNAcentral lists this ribosomal RNA (374 nucleotides) under uncultured myxomycete. RNAcentral's name for it is "SSU rRNA". It matches the Rfam family "Eukaryotic small subunit ribosomal RNA", at positions 76 to 405 of the family's 1831-position model. Lineage: Eukaryota; Evosea; Eumycetozoa. The record is from RNAcentral.
UCUCUCUGAAUCUGCGAACGGCUCCGCAAACCAGUUGUAAACUAUAGCAAGCAAGCCUCGGGGCCAGGAUAAAAGUCGUCCCGGGGUAAUAAGGAUAACCGUGGUAAUUCUGAGGCUAAUACAAGAGCGUAACCCCUGGCUGACAGGUAACUGAAGGCUGGGGAACGUGCAAUUCAGCGCAAAGAUUGCCGGGAGUAGGUGCACGUUCAGACCACCAUACCAAACGGUUGGCUCGAGCUUCGGCGAAGGCCUUCUGGGUGGCUCUUGCUGUGUGCUUCUGACCUAUCAACUAGAUGGCAGCGUAACGGACAUGCUAUGGUGACAACGGGUACAGAGGAUAAGGGUUCGAUCCUGGAGAGUGGGCCUGAGAGAUU